AUUGAACGCUGGCGGCAGGCCUAACACAUCCAAUUCAGGCGAUGGAGGGAAGCUGGCUCUGGGAUUAACCGGCGGACGGUGAGGUAAGGCCAAGAAAUCGGCCGGGUAGGGGGGGUAAACUCCGGGAAACGGGGGCUAUUACCGCUUACGUCUUGGGGGAAAAAGGGGGGGUUCUUCGGACCUAACGCUAUCAGUUGAGCCUAGGUCGGAUUAGCUAGUUGGUGGGGUAAAGGCCUACCAAGGCGACGAUCCGUAACUGGUCUGAGAGGAUGAUCAGUCACACUGGAACUGAGACACGGUCCAGACUCCUACGGGAGGCAGCAGUGGGGAAUAUUGGACAAUGGGCGAAAGCCUGAUCCAGCCAUGCCGCGUGUGUGAAGAAGGUCUUCGGAUUGUAAAGCACUUUAAGUUGGGAGGAAGGGCAGUAAGUUAAUACCUUGCUGUUUUGACGUUACCAACAGAAUAAGCACCGGCUAACUUCGUG
This 484-nucleotide ribosomal RNA is filed under the name uncultured bacterium. RNAcentral's name for it is "partial 16S ribosomal RNA". It matches the Rfam family "Bacterial small subunit ribosomal RNA", at positions 30 to 507 of the family's 1533-position model. The record is from RNAcentral.